AUUGAACGCUGGCGGCAGGCCUAACACAUGCCAGUCGAGCGGAUGAAGGGAGCUUGCUCCUGGAUUCAGCUGCGGACGGGUGAGUAAUGCCUAGGAAUCUGCCUGUUAAUUUGGGAUAACGUCCGGAAACGGGCGCUAAUACCGCAUACGUCCUGAGGGACAACGUGGGGAAUCUUCGGACCUUCCGCUAUCGGAUGAGCCUAGGUCGGAUUAGCUAGUUGGUGGGGUAAAGGCCUACCAAGGCGACGAUCCGUAACUGGUCUGAGAGGAUGAUCAGUCACACUGGAACUGAGACACGGUCCAGACUCCUACGGGAGGCAGCAGUGGGGAAUAUUGGACAAUGGGCGAAAGCCUGAUCCAGCCAUGCCGCGUGUGUGAAGAAGGUCUUCGGAUUGUAAAGCACUUUAAGUUGGGAGGAAGGGCAGUAAGUUAAUACCUCGCUGUUUUGACGGUACCAAAAGAAUAAGCACCGGCUAACUUCGUG
This 484-nucleotide ribosomal RNA is filed under the name uncultured bacterium. RNAcentral's name for it is "partial 16S ribosomal RNA". It matches the Rfam family "Bacterial small subunit ribosomal RNA", at positions 30 to 507 of the family's 1533-position model. The record is from RNAcentral.